Long non-coding RNA from Panicum virgatum (switchgrass), 811 nucleotides. RefSeq lists it as uncharacterized. The record is from RefSeq and is a predicted model, not a curated record. The transcript is spliced from 2 exons. NCBI's taxonomy places the organism in Eukaryota, Viridiplantae, Streptophyta, Magnoliopsida, Poales, Poaceae.
GAAUUUUUGGGGGCCUCAAUCAGGCCCAUUUCUGUUCAUCAACCAACUCCUGUUUCUAACUUUUAACCAUUGCAGAGAGUAUUUUGCACGCACUGCUCCCGGACAUGAACAUGCCAAUCCACAAGUUGCUGCUCCCAUCCAGCGGCCAAUCGCCGGAGUGGACAACUCAACCCGGGGCAUCCCCGGAUCUGGACCGCCCCGACCAGUCCAGUUCCGGUCUCCCCGGCGAACAUGCACGGCACAGCCCCGGGCCGAGCCGAGGCCGAGCCAUUGCUGCCCUAGCAACGCGGCAGGUGAGGAGGCCGGCCUGGUUCGGUGGCGCUAAACGAUGGGGCCGGGCGGCCAGCCGUGCCGUGCUCUCGCGCUCGGGGUUCGCGGUUCGCCAUGUGAUCUCCUCCAGAGGCCAGCCAGUUGCAGGCAUGCAGGCAUCAAUGUUGACAGAUCUACAGCGCGGCACGGCAGGCAGGGGUGUGCGCGCAGGUGACAGCCACUACACGAACAGGCACAAGGGGUUGAGGAGAAGCAAACAAGGGGUUGAGGAGGUUGCAGCAGACCAGGACAAGCCUGAAUCGAUUCUUACUUUGAUCCUCAUCCCCCCCCCCCCCCCCCCCCCUUUAUUGUUUUCAUUUCAUUCAGAUGUUGCCUGCUGGGCUGCUGAUUGUUUUGUAUCAUCUAUCUUUGCAGAACAAGCCUGAAUGACAGCCAAGCAGUUGAUCAUAUGGCAAAUAUUGUAUUUUACUGAUACCCGCAUAUAUGUUCAUGACAUGGAUUACUUGAAGCAAGAAAAGAUGCUUAAACGUUUUCUGCUCUA